This 440-nucleotide ribosomal RNA is filed under the name uncultured bacterium. RNAcentral's name for it is "partial 16S ribosomal RNA". It matches the Rfam family "Bacterial small subunit ribosomal RNA", at positions 338 to 795 of the family's 1533-position model. The record is from RNAcentral.
CCUACGGGAGGCAGCAGUGGGGGAUAUUGCACAAUGGGGGAAACCCUGAUGCAGCGACGCCGCGUGUGGGAAGACGGUCCUAUGGAUUGUAAACCACUGUCCCCAGGGACGAAGAUGACGGUACCUGGGGAGGAAGCUCCGGCUAACUACGUGCCAGCAGCCGCGGUAAUACGUAGGGAGCGAGCGUUGUCCGGAAUUACUGUGGGGAAAGGGAGCGUAGGCGGGACUGCAAGUUGGGUGUCAAAUCGACCGGCUCAACCGGUCGCCGCACUCAAAACUGCAGUUCGUGAGUGAAGUAGAGGCAGGCGGAAUUCCUAGUGUAGCGGUGAAAUGCGUAGAUAUUAGGAGGAACACCAGUGGCGAAGGCGGCCUGCUGGGCUUUUACUGACGCUGAGGCUCGAAAGUGUGGGGAGCAAACAGGAUUAGAUACCCGUGUAGUC